Molecule: ribosomal RNA, 2908 nt
Filed under: Bacteroidota bacterium
Lineage: Bacteria; Pseudomonadati; Bacteroidota
Description: Bacteroidetes bacterium (sediment metagenome) 23S ribosomal RNA
Rfam family: Bacterial large subunit ribosomal RNA
Source: RNAcentral
AAAGAAAGUAAAUAAGAGCGUAUGGUGGAUGCCUUGGCUCUCAGAGGCGAUGAAGGACGUGAUAAGCUGCGAUAAGCUCCGGGGAGGUGCAAAUAACCCGUGAUCCGGAGAUCUCCGAAUGGGGAAACCCUUCAUGCUGAAGGCAUGAAAUCCUGUGCAAACAGGAGGCAAACCCAGGGAACUGAAACAUCUAAGUACCUGGAGGAAAAGAAAACAACAGUGAUUCCCUCAGUAGUGGCGAGCGAACGGGGAAGAGCCCAAACCGGAACAGUUUCGGCUGUUCCGGGGUUGUAGGACGGCCAUCACGAAAAACAAUUCCAAGUGGAAGCUUCUGGAAAGCUGCACCAUAGAAGGUGAUAGUCCUGUACACGUAACGAAUUGUUUUUCAGGCCAGCUCCUGAGUAAGGCGGGACACGUGAAAUCCUGUCUGAAUCUGCGGGGACCAUCCCGCAAGGCUAAAUACUCCUGAGAGACCGAUAGUGCACUAGUACCGUGAGGGAAAGGUGAAAAGAACUUCGAACAGAAGAGUGAAAUAGUACCUGAAACCGUACGCUUACAACCUGUCGGAGUCCCGCUUUUGCGGGAUGACGGCGUGCCUUUUGCAUAAUGAGCCUACGAGUUACUUCUCACUAGCAAGGUUAAUCCUGUUGACGGGAGGAGCCGAAGCGAAAGCGAGUCUGAAUAGGGCGUUAAGUUAGUGGGAGUAGACGCGAAACUUUGUGAUCUACCCAUGGCCAGGUUGAAAUCUCGGUAACACGAGAUGGAGGACCGAACUAGUAGACGUUGAAAAGUCUUUGGAUGAGCUGUGGGUAGGGGUGAAAGGCUAAUCAAACUGAGAAAUAGCUCGUACUCCCCGAAAUGCCUUUAGGGGCAGCCUCAUGGAGAGUAUCGCAGAGGUAGAGCUACUGAUUGGGCUAGAGGGCUUCACCGCCUAUCAAACCCAGACAAACUCCGAAUGCUGUGAUAUAUACAUGGGAGUGAGCCGCCGGGUGCUAACGUCCGGUGACAAAAGGGAAACAACCCAGACCAUCAGCUAAGGUCCCCAAAUAGAUGCUAAGUUGUCCUAACGAAGUGCGAUUGCUUUGACAGCUAGGAUGUUGGCUUGGAAGCAGCCAUGCAUUUAAAGAGUGCGUAACAGCUCACUAGUCGAGCGAUUGUGCGUGGAUAAUAAUCGGGCAUGAAGCAUCUUACCGAAGCUAUGGUUCCUCCGAUUCGUCGGAGGAAGGUAGGGGAGCAUUCCAGUCUGCGCCGAAGGUGUGGCGCGAGCCAUGCUGGAGCGGCUGGAAAAGAAGAUGUAGGCAUAAGUAACGAUAAGGCCGGUGAAAAACCGGCCCACCGAUAGACUAAGGUUUCCUGAUCAACGUUAAUCGGAUCAGGGUUAGUCGGGGCCUAAGGCUUAUCCGCACCUAAGCGGAGAUGCCGAUGGAUAAUCGGUCAAUAUUCCGAUACUUGCCUGAAUUGCGAUGGGAUGACGAAGAAGUGUAAGGUCCGCGUACUGACGGAAUAGUACGUUAAAAGGCGUAGGUAUAUACCGGGGUUAACAGCUUCGGUAUGCUGAAACCUGACAGUACCGUGAGUCUUCGGACAAGCGGAUAGUGACCCUAAACAUGCUUCCAAGAAAAUUCCCUAAGCUUCAGAUUCAGGCAACCCGUACCGCAAACCGACACAGGUAGUCAAGGAGAGAAUCCUAAGGUGCUCGAGUGAUCCGUGGCUAAGGAACUAGGCAAAUUGACCCUGUAACUUCGGGAGAAAGGGUUCCCGACUCCGGUCGGGACGCAGAGAAAUGGUCCAGGCGACUGUUUAACAAAAACACAGGGCUCUGCAAAAUCGAAAGAUGACGUAUAGGGCCUGACACCUGCCCGGUGCCGGAAGGUUAAGAGGGGGGGUUAUUCCUGAGCAAUCGGGAAGAAGCUCUGAAUCGAAGCCCCGGUAAACGGCGGCCGUAACUAUAACGGUCCUAAGGUAGCGAAAUUCCUUGUCGGGUAAGUUCCGACCUGCACGAAUGGUGUAACGAUCUGGACACUGUCUCAGCCACGAGCUCGGUGAAAUUGUAGUCCCGGUGAAGAUGCCGGGUACCCGCUACGGGACGGAAAGACCCCGUGAACCUUCACUACAACUUUGCAUUGAUACUGGGUAAGUAAUGUGUAGGAUAGGUGGGAGACUAUGAAGCGGCCUCGCCAGGGGUCGUGGAGUCGCCGUUGAAAUACCACCCUUUAUUUGCUUGGUGUCUAAUCCCGCAUAGCGGGAGACAGUGCAUGGUGGGUAGUUUGACUGGGGUGGUCGCCUCCAAAAGCGUAACGGAGGCUCCCAAAGGUGCCCUCAGCACGAAUGGUAACCGUGCGCAGAGUGUAUUGGCAUAAGGGCGCUUGACUGUGAGACUGACAAGUCGAGCAGGUACGAAAGUAGGGCAAAGUGAUCCGGUGGUUCCAUAUGGAAGGGCCAUCGCUCAAAGGAUAAAAGGUACUCCGGGGAUAACAGGCUGAUCGCUCCCAAGAGCUCAUAUCGACGGAGCGGUUUGGCACCUCGAUGUCGGCUCGUCACAUCCUGGGGCUGGAGAAGGUCCCAAGGGUUCGGCUGUUCGCCGAUUAAAGUGGCACGUGAGCUGGGUUCAGAACGUCGUGAGACAGUUCGGUCCCUAUCUGUAGUGGGCGCUGGAGAUUUGAGAGGACCUGCCUCUAGUACGAGAGGACCGAGGCGGACAAACCUCUAGUGUACCUGUUGUGGCGCCAGCUGCACCGCAGGGUAGCUAUGUUUGGACGAGAUAAGCGCUGAAAGCAUCUAAGCGCGAAGCUCACCUCAAGAUGAGAUCUCCUUUAAGGGUCGUCGAAGACUACGACGUUGAUAGGCUGCAGGUGUAAAGUCAGUAAUGGCAAAGCCGAGCAGUACUAAUCACCCGUAACUUUCUUCA